Molecule: long non-coding RNA, 497 nt
Filed under: Equus asinus (donkey)
Lineage: Eukaryota; Metazoa; Chordata; Mammalia; Perissodactyla; Equidae
Description: lncRNA (ENSEASG00005032673.1)
Source: RNAcentral
GUGGAGCCAUGCCAGCCUCUUGGACCCAUGUGGCAAGUCACCUUUGCUGGUUCACCUUGGCCACCCCAGCCUGCAGGAUGGGUCUGAAAGAGGAGGGACGGUUGCUAACCAGGACGGAGGAUGCGGGAGAUUCCUGGAAGUGAGACGAGCCUACUGGAGCGAGUCCAAGACUGCUCAGCCAAGGGGGCACGCAAGUUCUCCCAGGUUCUAUUCCGUGGCUCCAUGCAGAUGCAUCUGCCUUCCCACCAGCGGUGUUAAUUAAGCAGCGUCCAUGGGCCCAUAACACCUAGGCAUCGAGCAGACCCAGCGGAACGCAACUCCAAUGACUGAAUUCCUCUCCCAUCACGUGACACGCUAUCAACCUUUCUUGCCACUGAGAAUACGUCCCUUCUCAAAGGUUUCUGCCCGCUGCCAGGUAAUCAAGUCUGUCUGAAUCCACAGGAGAGAGAGGUGGUGAUGGCAGCGUGGGGUGGGCAGAGCGCAGUGAGCACCAAAAC